UGAGCCGAGUGCCCGGGGUGCCGGCGAGGAGAUGGAGGUUGAAAAUUUCCCCUUCUUGGGUCUUCCUGAAUAAUGGUGAACUGGUUAGCAGAUGGUGGUGAGCAUUGAUCUUUCAGAAUCUUCCUGAAUGCAGUUUGUUAAAUAUUUUUAUGUGGUUCAAUGAAACUGAAACUGGAAUGUGCAUUGAAGAUGAAAUUGAGCAAUACCAAGGAUUACUUUUGUCGGAUAUUAUGGUGACUGGUGAGCAUUGAUCUUUCGGGAACUUCUUGAAUGCAGAUUGCUAAAUGUGUUUAUGUGGUUCAAACGAAACUGAAACUGGAAUUGGGUUGAAGAUGAAUUUACGAAUAACUCGUUCCGCACACUUUCCAAAUGAUAACAACCCAGUUCACUACUACACCUAACAAAGCAGGACUUACUACAAGCCAUGGUGGUUUGGGAACAGGGGACAACACGAGGCCAAAGCCUUCCGAUCCACAAGCGACCCUCGUUCCCCGUCGCCACCUCUGUUUUUCUUAAGUGCUCGCUACCUCCGUUCUGUUUGUGUUACUCACCUCUGUUCUGUUUCUGUUACUCACAUCUCUCAACAACGACUUGCUGUGAACUGAAAAUCUCUCACGCAAUACAGCACGCUGCAAUCCUGUACUUUUUUUGUGUUCCUUUGUUUUUCUAACUUGUAUAUCGGAUGGGGAAUAGGCCCAAUUGUGUCGGCCAACUGACCUGCCCUGACGCAGGGUUUAGCUUGGGUUGAACCGGACUUGUGCGCAUGAGUCAAAGCGUUGUAACUUCCAAGUUUUCGUUACAAGCAUUAUCGUAAACAUCGCGUCAUAUAGAUUCAAAGUUUUACCAUUAUCAUAGACACUGCCUUUCUAGUGAUGCUGCCGAGACUAUGAUUCUUAGUAUUGUGGAUUAUCCAUAUAUUACUGGGGUAAGUUAUAUGGAAUCUUGAUUGGUCAAAUCGUGGAGUUGUAUGAUUUUUGAUGAAUACUGCAAUCACAAGUCUCCGUUACUCAUAUCAUAACUUGGAAGAUGCCUAUUAUGCUGGAAGAUGAAUACUACGAUGCCUAUUUGUUACUAUGGUUACCCUAAAGCUCUACGACGCCCGUGGUACAAAUCACGACUGGUAGAAUUUAUUGUUUUGGCAGUGUUUCUUAGAUUUCAUAUGUGUCUUUCUUCUGGACAUCACUGUACUUUGCUCAUGCCAAAACAAACAAUAGUGCUCAGGCCACUAACACAGAAGCAAAGGACAUAUCGGCCAACAAACAAUCAAUAGGGACAAAGAAAAACAGUUAGUGAUUUUAGGGAGAGAGAGAACAUGAGAGAAAUUAGUAACUUUAGUAAGUUUAUUAGCUGAAAACAAAUUGGCUAGAGAGCUUAGUAACUUUAGUAAGUUUAUUAGCAGAUUUGCUCUGUCUUUCCUUUUGGUCACAAGUAGCAUUUCCCUUCAAAAUAAAUCAGUGAAGCAGUGGUACAUUGUUACCUACCAGGCAAUAAUAAGCAGGCAUGAUACUAUGAGAGCUUGCUAGCACCGUCGGUGUCAAAACCGGCGGAUCUCGGGUAGGGGGUCCUGAACUGUGCGUCUAAGGCUAAUGGUAACAGGAGGCUGGGGACACGAUGUUUACCCAGGUUCGGGCCCUCUCGAUGGAGGUAAUACCCUACUUCCUGCUUGAUUGAUCUACUACGAGACCGUAGAGGCUAACCCUAGAAGCUAGCCUAUGAUUAUGAUUGUUCUUCUUGUCCUACGGACUAAACCCUCCGGUUUAUAUAGACACCGGAGGGGGCUAGGGUUACACAGAGUCGGUUACAGAGAAGGAGAUCUACAUAUCCGAAUCGUCAAGCUUCCCUUCCAUGCAAAGGAGAGUCCCAUCCAGACACGGGACGAAGUCUUCAAUCUUGUGUCUUCAUAGUCCAACAGUCCGGCCAAAGUAUAUAGUCCGGCUGUCCGAAUACCCCCUAAUCCAGGACUCCCUCAGUAGCCCCUGAACCAGGCUUCAAUGAAGAUGAGUCUGGCGUGUAGAUUGUCUUCGGCAUUGCAAGGCAGGUUCCAUCUCCGAAUACUCCAAAAUAAACUUCGAACACAUGAAUCGUGUCCGGCUCUACAAAAUAAAUUCCACAUACCACCGUAGAGAGCAUAAUAUUCCACAAAUCCAAUCUGCUGACAGCUUUUCCUAGCAUGACAUCACGCCAUGGCCCGGUCACUACUAACCGUUUUGCCCAGCCUGCCACUACGCGUGUCGCGAGGCGGUUUUAUUGGCACGUCUUGUCGAAGCAGAGAUCGUGUUCCCCUUAUCGCGGGAUUCUCAUCAAUACGGGCGUGGGUAACCCAACUACGCCUGUUGGUAUGACUCCUCAAUUUUAGGCAAGUCCCAAAUGGUCACGCUGAGGAUGCUUGAUAUUCACCCCCUUUAUAGAGGGACCGAGGCCCGUCCCUUUCUUCCCACGCUUGCUCCUUCCCCCACCUCGAGUUCCAAUACCCAAAGCUCAGGCUUAAGCACUUCGAACCUUCAAUCAUGUCCGGACCCAACCUUCAAGGUCGGUGGAUAGCCUCCUCUGUCACAGAGGAGGACAUCGAGAAGCUCAGGGAGGCCAGGUAUCUGACCUCAGAAAUCCAGCACAGGCUUCCUGCCCAAGGGCAGGUCAUCCCCACUCCCGAACCCAACGAGAGCGUUGUAUUCGUUUCCCACUUCCUCCGAGGCUUAGGCUUUAGUCUUGAUCUCUUUGUGAGGGGGCUCAUGUUUUAUUACGGGCUAGAUUUUCAUGAUCUAGCUCCGGAUUCCAUCCUUCACAUCUCGUUGUUUAUCGUCGUGUGCGAAGCCUUCCUCCACAUUACCCCACACUUCGGUCUAUGGCUCAAGAACUUCAACGUAAAGUCGAAGGUGAUCGAUGGACGGCACGCGGAGUGCGGAGGCGCUAUAAUAAGCAAAAGCGCCGAUGCCCCAUGGCCACAAGGUUCUUUCUCGGAGGUGUUCGAUUUAUGGCAAUGGAGGUGGUUCUAUAUCACAGCUCCCCGAGGCACAAAGUGGGCGGCCGCCCUGCCUUCCGCUCGGGCCCUCCGCCCCAACUGGCGUCAUGGGUCAACGAGGGAUUGGACUGGGGGCCUGCAAAUGAUGUACCGACAUUGCAAAGCCGCAUUCGGGAUCUUCUUGAGAGGGAUGUCGGCCUCAUCAAAAUAAUUCAGGUAAUGCUAGUCCGUCGGGUCUUGACGUGCAAACGUCGACCUCUCCGGAUGUGGGAGUUCAACCCAGAAGGACCGCAAACUAUUCAACACUUCUUCGGCAUGACGCUCAAAGGGAUGUAUCGGCUAUUCUUCGGAUCACGAAUAAAGUGUCCGGACACCACCGAGGAUGCGGGCUUGAACUGCAAUCGUCCAGAUACCCAAGUAAGUAACUCUGCAACCAAACAUGUUGUUAAUGUAUAUUAUAACAUUAUUCUAAAAACUGUCCGCGACCAGGAUUGGCUCAGCAAGGCGGAGAGGAUCAGGUGUCCGGCCCCGCUUCCCGAAGGCUCCCCGAAUCCUGCGUUAACCAGGAUGCUUAAACGUGCACUGAAUCAAGUGCCAUCGGGGGAGGAUGAAUGUAACAAGCCGGUGUAAUGAUGCUACAGUAACCCCUGGGGUUAAGUUAAUUGUUUUGCUAAACAUGUGCCUGAUCAUUAUUGUCUCAUGCUCUUUCACAUUCCAGUUGAAUUCAAAUUCAAAUUCUGUGUGAAAUUCAAAAUGCUCAAACAUGAAAACUAAAAUGUUCAUCAUGUGGAAAGUAUUCUUCUGGUAAAAUUGGUGGUGAACCGAUAUUUUUUGCAAAAUGUCUAAAUGGCUUGAAAUAGCUAAAACCAGAAAAAGCUUUAAGAUAAAAAAAAGGGAAAGCCCCCCCCCCCUCAACUGGGCCGACUGGCCCAGCUGGCCACCGCGCCCCCUUCCCAUGGGCCUCGGCCCACCACAGCAUGCCGGCCCAGCUCCCCGUACCGCGCCCUCCUCCUGUUCCCCCGGUGUGCACCGCUACAGGGGCUCGUCGNNNNNNNNNNNNNNNNNNNNNNNNNNNNNNNNNNNNNNNNNNNNNNNNNNNNNNNNNNNNNNNNNNNNNNNNNNNNNNNNNNNNNNNNNNNNNNNNNNNNNNNNNNNNNNNNNNNNNNNNNNNNNNNNNNNNNNNNNNNNNNNNNNNNNNNNNNNNNNNNNNNNNNNNNNNNNNNNNNNNNNNNNNNNNNNNNNNNNNNNNNNNNNNNNNNNNNNNNNNNNNNNNNNNNNNNNNNNNNNNNNNNNNNNNNNNNNNNNNNNNNNNNNNNNNNNNNNNNNNNNNNNNNNNNNNNNNNNNNNNNNNNNNNNNNNNNNNNNNNNNNNNNNNNNNNNNCCUCACGCGCUCACUCCUCCCGAGCGCCACCGUCGCCGUGCGUCGGUUGAUCCCGCGGCCACCGUUGUCCCCGACCCUCUCCGACGUGCCCCCAGGCGCUGCCUCGACCUCCACAUCCGCCCCGCCGAGCCGCACGGACCGGGACGGCCCCGCCGCACCGCCACGACCUCGCCUUCGCCCUCGGCUCUGACGAACGCCGCCGCCCCGAAUCCACACCACUGCUGCUCCUAGUCACCCAACGGGCCACCGUGUGCCCCCAAGGUGAGCUCCGGCCCCCUUUUCCCUCUCCUCGCGCGUCUCCGCCUCCACCGUAGCUAGCUCGCCCGCAAGACGAGCUUCGCCGUCCGCCAUUGCCAUCGUAGGGCUCGCCACCGAGCUCCUCCGCUCGAGCUAGUAGCUCCGACGAGCUCCUGGAGCGCCGUAGACCUCGCCCAGCUUCUUCGUUCGCCAAAACACGCACUGCAACGCCGAUCCCGACGAGGUCCCGAACCCCACCGCCGCCUCCACUCGUCGCCGACGCAGUUCUGGUCACCCCCGCGUCCAACCGACCACACCAUGCGGCGCGGCUUCGUCUCCUUGUUCGAACGCGCCAAGUCCCGGGCCAAAUGACCCCCUGUGCGCGAUUCCCGGCGAAGUCCGGCGAGCCCCGCCACUGUUUUGGUCGCCGGCGGCGAAACCCCGACGCCGCCGACGUGGCACACCUGGACCCCGCCUCUGGGUCACUGCCCGUGGGCCCCCUGGCCCCAGUUGACCACGUUGACCGUGGUCAACUGUGCUGACUGGGCACACAGUGUCCCUGACACGCGGGCCCCGUCGCUUAUUUUGUUAAAUAAAUGUUUUUCUAAAUAACAACGAUUAAUUAAAACGUUAGUUAAAUUAGUUAGUUAGUUAGUACUAACUAGUCACUGACUGCUGGGGCCCAUGCCCCCUAACUAACCCUGUUAGUUUAGUUAAGCCUCUGUUAGACAGAGAGGCUGACAGGUGGGUCCCACCUAUCAGUUUGACUGGUCAGCGGAGCUGACGCAGUGCUGACAUCACUGCUGACGCAAUAAACCUUUUCUGCUUUUAAAAUAAUUCAGAAAUUGGUUUAAACUUUGAAAAUCCGUAACUUUUAAACCGUAGCUCGGAUCGUAAAAGUUUAUAUAUGAAAAACGCCCAGAAAAACGAGACGAACCCAAAUAUGCGGUCCGUUUACCUGUCAGAAGCCUCUAACUAUCUGAACAUGGAACAUUCCCCUCAUGUCAUCUGUUUGACACAGGCCCGGAACCGGGAAUACAUUCCCGGUUGAAUCCCCCCUUCACCUAUAUCAUGUAGCCAUACGUUAGGUCACACCCGGCACAACAUAUUGCCACGUUAUGCUUUGUGAUGCUAUGUUUGAUUUAUAUUUACUGUUUCUUCCCCCUCUUCUCUCCGGUAGACCCCAAGACCGAUGUCGAUGCCCCUGUGAUCGACUACGUCGAUGACAACCCUCCUUGCCAGAGCAACCAGGCAAGCCCCCCCUUUGAUCAUCCCGAUAUCGCCCAUUCCAUUCUCUCAUGCUUGCAUUAGAUUUUGCUACUGUUAUUGUUUGCUCCUAUUCUGAUGCAUAGCCUGCUUUUGUAUCUACUGUUGUACCUUACCUGCUUAUCCUAAACUGCUUAGUAUAGGUUGGUUAGUGAUCCAUCAGUGACCCCCACUUUGUCCCGAUUGCCCCGCUGGAUUAUCAGAAGACCCGAUCAACAGGAUCAAAGACCAGGCCCCGGCACCGCACAUCACUUUCCCCUUAGUUGCUCGACACUGCUGGGUUACUAUCGAGUGCCGAGGGUGAUACCUCUACAACACUUCUGAUGUUAACCCUAUAGUGUAGCUAUUCGGUCGUGGUCAUCGAGGGUGAUUCCGCCUUAACCACUUCCGAUACGACUCUGUUGUGCAACCCCUCAAGUGUGAACCUCGAGGGUGAUUCCUCUUACGUUCACCUUGAUGAUUACAUCGAGUGAAAUUCACCGGGGGUGAUUCCUCGGGUUUUCCCCUUGAUGUUUGGACACACGGUUACUAUGGUUACUAUGACUUUACACUGAACCAUGUUACUAAAGACGGGUCGACCCUGAGGGGUGCCCGCGCGAGAAUAAUUGCGAGUGAUGAGGAGUCGGGUUAACCUAGAAGGUGCCCGUGAGAUAAUUACGAGGCGUGGCCGGGCAUUCUUAGCCCUUGCCGCAAGUCCUCGAGACGGGGCAACGGGGUCACAUCUUUCGUGAGUCUCUGCUUGUUACCGCGCGUUCCCAAUCCACUACGAUUUGGAUAUUUGAUCCGAGGGGCCUCUGGCCUGAUAGCACUAACCAUCACGUGGGCAUAGUAUGGGCGUUCUGCAUCGUAUGCAUCAGCCGAAGCUUAAUAGACGUCAGCGACUGAGCGGCGCGCGCCGGGUUGGACUGGUUACGCCUUCUCUUGUAUAAGGGAGGCUAGGUCUGCUCACCGGCCGCGUACACAACGUGUAGGAGUUCCCGGGGAGAUGGCCCAUGACCCCUGGGGGCAUAGGUUUAGUCCGGCGUGCUGACCUCUCUGUUAAGUCUAGGUCGGGUUGCGGCGUAUUGUUUGGCCGAGGCCGGGCAUGACCCAGGAAAGUGUCUCCGGCCGGAGUUAAUCAAGCGUGGUGGGUAAGUUGGUGCACCCCUGCAGGGAAGAACUAAUCUAUGCAUAGCCUGUCCUACGGUAACGGACACGUGGAGUUGUAUCCCGAUCGAUACAACUAGAACUGGAUACUUGUGAUGAGAAUUGGAUGGUGAAGAGAAAUGGAUUGUGAUGAUAACUGGAUAGUAUGGCUCUGGGAUUGCUUUCUCGCAGGGAGUCGAGAAAGGAUCUCUGGCCGAGGUUGAUUACGCUACUACUUUACUUUAUGCUACUCUACUCCCUCCUGUUGCUGCAAGAUGGUGGUUUCCAGAAGAUGCUAGUCUUCGAUAGGACUAGGCCUUCUCUCUAUUCUGGCAUUUCUGUAGCCCAGUCCACAUAUAUAGCCUUCCUUUGAUAAUGUUGCAUAUGUAGUGUAGAUCCUUUCUUGCGAGUACUUUGGAUGAGUACUCACGGUUGCUUUGUUUCCCCUUUUCCCCAUUCUUUCUUCUUUCUGGUUGUCGCAACCAGAUGGUGGAGCCCAGGAUCCAGACGACACCACCAACGACUACUACUACCCCGAGGGUACCUACUACUACGUGGAGGCCGCCGACGGCCAGGAGUAGUUAGGAGGCUCCCAGGCAGGAGGCCUUGCCUUUUCGAUCGCUGCUGCUUUUGUGCUAGCCUUCUUAAGGCAAACUUGUCUAACUCAUGUUUGUACUCAGAUAUUGUUGCUUCCGCUGACUCUUGUAUAAUCGAGCUUAUGUAUUUGAGCCCUCUAGGCCCCUGGCUUGUAAUAUAAAGCUUGUAUUAUUUUAAUUUGUGUAUAGAGUUGUGUUGUGAUAUCUUCCCGUGAGUCCUUGAUCUUGAUCGUACACAUUUGUGCAUGAUUAGUGUAGAUUGAAUCGAGGGCGUCACAAGUUGGUAUCAGAGCCGACUGCCUGUAGGUAGCCCCCUUUCCAACUCCUUGGCCGAAGUUGAGUCUAGUCACUGAAAAACUUUUACUAACAUGGCUGUGUGUCUUACGGGCCCACGUCGCCAUUGGGUGGUGUUAGGAUCUUUUACUCCUUGUCUAUACUCUGGGACUCUGAACUCUCUUCUACUCGGGUUAAACGAAUUUACUAACUCUAACAUUAGGAUCCCGUGACCACAUUCACCCCAAAGUUGGAUAAGCCAUAGUUACUCCUUAGAAUAGCAUCUUGAAUAAUGCACACACUGUCAUGUUGACUACUAAGAGGUAUCCAUCGUACCUCUUUCAUUAUGCCUGUUUCAUCAUGAAUGAUCCUUUGUCUUUGCAAAUGCUCGAUACUGAACUACCCCCUGUUACAUGUUAGCAGGAUGGUUAGACCCGCUGGUCGUGGCCGUGGUGCCAACGAUCCACCACCGCCCGAAUUCUUUGCUGGAAUGAUGCAACAGUUUGAGCUGAACCGCCAGUUCAUGGAAGGAAUGAUGGCUCAGUUUCCUCGUCCGAAUAUGAACCAGCAGCCAGCCCCAGUUACUCUGCAGGACUUCAUGGGCCUCAACCCGACAAUCUACCGCAGCUCAACUCAGCCCCUUGAUGCUGAUGACUGGCUCUGAGACAUCAUGUAUGAAAUGGAGUCUGCUAGUGUUGCCCCUGCCAGCUAUGUCACUUUCGCAUCCUUCUUCCUCAAGGGUCCCGCUGCUCAAUGGUGGGACAGCCACAGGCGUACCCUAUCUGCUGGAACGGUCAUCACUUGGCCAGAUUUCCAAGCCGCUUUCCGUGCCCGCUUCAUUCCUUAGGGAAUCAUGGACAGGAAGAAGCGCGAGUUCCGUAACCUCACCCAAUGCAACAAGUCUGUAGAUGCUUAUCAGCGGGAAUUCUUGGAAUUGUCCCGUUACGCUGAAGAAGACAUUGCUACUGAUGCUCGUAAGCAAGAAAAGUUUCGUGAUGGACUUCACCCUGAUGUCAAGCUAGCACUGCUCGUUCAUGACUUUGCCGACUUCACCACCUUGGUGAACAAGGCUAUUCAGGUUGAGACUGGUCUUCAGGAACACCAGGGAUUCCUCAGGCGUAGCCGUGACGCUUUCCCAUCUUCGGGCCCGUCAGCGCAGAAGCGUCGGAUAUGGAUUCCCCACAGCAUGUAUCGUCCAACUGCACCUGCACCAAGACAGUCCUAUGUUGCACCUCGUCUACCUCCUCCAUCGGAGAGGCAGCCUCUUCGAGUGGUACCACCCCAAGCUCCUACUCCCAAUCCCAAUGAUGAAUUGUGCUUUAGGUGUGGUCGUCCAGGUCACCAUGCCAGAGAGUGCAAUCAAAACAAGAACCAGCUGGCUCUGCCUUCUAAUGGCCGUGGAAACAACCAGCCCCGCAAUAGCAAUGCCCGACCUUAUGAUCGUGGUCAGGCUAAUCAUGUUGAUCUGAAUGAAGCUCAAGACCAGCCUGCUACUGUGAUGGGUACUCUUCUCGUUAAUUCAGUACCGGCUUCUGUUUUAUUCGAUUCAGGAGCAUCGCAUUCAUUUAUGUCAGAAAAUUUUGCAUACGCACACGACAUCCGAUGUGAGCCCAUGAACACUCCAAUAGUGAUGCGCACCCCUGCGGGCCGAUGUCAAACUACCAUGAUUGGUCACGACGUUCCCAUUGAGAUUGAAGGGUUGGAAUUCCUUGUUUCUCCCAUUAUUCUGGAGUCUUCCAAUAUUAACCUCAUUUUGGGAAUGGAAUGGUUGAAAGCGCAUACUGCCUCUAUCGUUUGCGCCACCAAGGUCGUUCACCUCCUACAUCCUUCCGAUGAGAUAGUAAGCUACCAUGCUCAGCUUGUUCAGGACGCUGAAGCACGACUUUAUGCUUUGAAUGCGUUGAACGCAGCACCUCUUGAGGGGAUUGAAAAGAUUCCAGUUGUUUGCGACUUCCAAGACGUAUUUCCAGAUGAACUUCCAGGAAUACCCUCUGCCCGGGCUGUCGAGUUCGUCAUCGACUUGAAACCAGGCACCGUUCCUAUCGCCAAACGACCCUACAAGAUGCCACCUCAUGAACUCCUUGAGCUUAAGGAGGAAAUCGACAAAUCUCUUCGCAAGGGUUUCAUUCGUCCAAGUUCCUCUGCUUGGGGAGCACCUUCUCUCUUUGUGAAGAAGAAGGACGGAACGAACCGUUUGAUCCAAGAUUACCAUCCUAUCAACCAAGCUACAAUUCAGAACAAAUAUCCCCUUCCUCGGAUCAAUGAUCUGUAUGAUCAACUUGCUGGUUCAUCGAUAUUCUCUAAACUUGACUUGAGGUUGGGUUACCACCAGAUCCGUGUUCGUGAAGAGGAUAUUCCAAAGACCGCCUUCGUCACUCGUUAUGGUUCUUACGAGUACACCGUCAUGUCAUUCAGUUUAACCAAUGCUCUAGCUACAUUCUCUCGUCUGAUGAACUAUAUAUUCAUGGAUUACCUCGACAAGUUCGUCGUAGUCUAUCUGGAUGAUAUACUGGUAUAUUCGAAGAAUAAAGAAGAACAUGCUGAACAUCUUCGUCUUGUUCUGGAGAAGCUUCGAGAGCAUCAACUUUAUGCCAAGUAUUCCAAGUGUGAAUUCUGGUUACCCGAAGUCACCUACCUUGGUCAUGUUAUCUCCAAGGAUGGGAUUGCCAUCAACCCAGAGCGCGUUUAGGCUAUUCUUGACUGGACCCCUCCUAAGACUGUCAAGCAAGUCAGAAGCUUUCUCGGCCUAGCCAGCUACUGUCGCCGCUUUGUCGAGAACUUCUCCAAGAUCGCCAAGCCACUGACUAAUCUGCUUCACAAAGGCGUUAAGUUUGACUGGACAGAAAAAUGUCAGGAAAGUUUCCAGGCACUCAAGGACAAGCUGACUUCUGCCCCAGUGCUUGCUCCUCCUGAUUCUCGCAAGGACUUCGUCAUCUAUUGUGACGCUUCACGUCAAGGAUUAGGCUGUGUUCUAAUGCAAGAGCGCAGGGUGAUUGCUUAUGCUUCCCGUCAAGUGCGUCCUCACAAGGAAAACUACCCGGUUCAUGACCUUGAGCUUGCAGCAGUUAUCUUUGCAUUGAAGCUAUGGCGACAGUACCUUCUCGGUAAUCGUUGUGAGAUCUUCACUGAUCAUCAGAGUCUGAAGUACCUGUUUACCCAGCCAGAUCUGAACCUCCAUCAGCAGCGAUGGAUGGAAGCUAUUGCGGACUACAACUGCGGUAUAUCUUAUACCCCUGGUAAGGCUAAUGUAAUGGCCGAUGCCCUGAGCCGCAAGUCUUAUUGCAAUAAUCACAUGGUCUACAAAGCUCAACCCCGCCUUUAUGAAGAGCUAUGCAAGCUAAACCUUCAACUAGUUCCACAGGGUUCUCUGAAUAACCUUGUCCUGGAACCAACUCUUCUGAAAGAAAUUAAGUCUGCUCAAGCCAAAGAUGCUCACGUUGAUUUGAUGAAAAAGGAUCUUGCCUUAGAGAAAUCCAGAGAUUUCUCACUUGGUGAAGAUGGAACCUUAUACUUCAGAGAUCGCAUUGUAGUACCCCGGUUCGAGCUUAUGACAGAGAAGGUGAUGAAAGAAGCGCAUGACACCCCUCUCUCUAUUCAUCCGGGAAGUACCAAGAUGUAUCUAGACAUCCGUCAGAAGUACUGGUGGUCUAAAAUGAAGCAAGACAUUGCUCGAUAUAUCGAAGAAUGUGAUGUUUGCCGUCGCGUCAAAGCAGAACAUCAGAAACCGGCUGGACUUCUACAACCGCUUCCGAUUCCUGAAUGGAAGUGGGAUAAGAUCCAAAUGGAUUUCGUCACAGGCCUUCCCAAGUCUCAGAAAGGUAACGAUGCUAUCUUUGUUGUCAUCGACCAAUUCUCGAAAGUUGCUCACUUUCUGCUAGUCAAGGAGACAAUCACUGCUAGUCAAUUAGCAAACUUGUAUAUCUCCAGAAUUGUGUCACUCCAUGGCAUUCCGAAGGAGAUCAGUUCAGACCGUGGCAGUUUAUUCACUUCAAAGUUCUGGGAUAGUUUCCAAGAGGCAAUGGGAACUCACAUUACCUGGAGCACUGCUUAUCAUCCCCAAUCCCAAGGCCAAGUCGAGCGAGUCAAUCAAAUUCUUGAAGACAUGCUUCGAGCUUGUGUUAUUUCUUUCGGCAAGAAGUGGGAAGAAUCUCUCCCUGAUGCGGAGUUCUCUUAUAACAACAGCUAUCAAGCCAGCUUGUAGAUGGCACCCUUUGAAGUGCUUUAUGGACGGAAGUGCCGAACCCCUCUGAAUUGUUCAGAAACUGGGAACGAGCACUCAUUGGUCCGGACAUUAUUCAACAAGCUGAAGAGCAGGUUCGCAUUGUCCGGGAUAAUCUCAAGGCGGCCCAGUCCCGCCAGAAGAGCAACUAUGACCGGAAACACUGGGGCUCAACUUAUCAACCUGGUGAACAAGCUUAUCUGCGUGUCACUCCUUUGAGAGGCACUCAUCGGUUCGGAGUCAAGGGCAAGUUAGCUCCUCGCUACAUUGGUCCCUUCCGUAUUCUCGCCCGUCGUGGACUGGUGGCUUAUCAACUGGAGUUGCCACCUCAAUUCUCUCAUGUUCAUGAUGUCUUCCACGUGUCGCAACUUCGUCGAUGCUUCAAGGAUCCGGAACGUGAAGUGGAUCCGGAAUUGAUUGAAGUUCAAGAUGAUCUCACAUACAAGGAGCAUCCUAUCCGCAUUCUUGAAGAAGCUGAACAUCGAACCCGCCAGAAGGUUACCAAGUUCCUCAAGGUGCAAUGGUCGAAUCAUACUAAAGAUGAAGCCACUUGGGAACGCGAAGAUAACCUCCAUGAUGAAUACCCCGACCUGUUCCCUUCUACCUCUUAAUUCUCGGGACGAGAAUUUCUUUUAGAGGAGGAGAGUUGUAACACCCCGGUGUAAUGAUGCUACAGUAACCCCUGGGGUUAAGUUAAUUGUUUUGCUAAACAUGUGCCUGAUCAUUAUUGUCUCAUGCUCUUUCACAUUCCAGUUGAAUUCAAAUUCAAAUUCUGUGUGAAAUUCAAAAUGCUCAAACAUGAAAACUAAAAUGUUCAUCAUGUGGAAAGUAUUCUUCUGGUAAUAUUGGUGGUGAACCGAUUUUUUUUUGCAAAAUGUCUAAAUGGCUUGAAAUAGCUAAAACCAGAAAAAGCGUUAAGAUAAANNNNNNNNNNNNNNNNNNNNNNNNNNNNNNNNNNNNNNNNNNNNNNNNNNNNNNNNNNNNNNNNNNNNNNNNNNNNNNNNNNNNNNNNNNNNNNNNNNNNNNNNNNNNNNNNNNNNNNNNNNNNNNNNNNNNNNNNNNNNNNNNNNNNNNNNNNNNNNNNNNNNNNNNNNNNNNNNNNNNNNNNNNNNNNNNNNNNNNNNNNNNNNNNNNNNNNNNNNNNNNNNNNNNNNNNNNNNNNNNNNNNNNNNNNNNNNNNNNNNNNNNNNNNNNNNNNNNNNNNNNNNNNNNNNNNNNNNNNNNNNNNNNNNNNNNNNNNNNNNNNNNNNNNNNNNNNNNNNNNNNNNNNNNNNNNNNNNNNNNNCAUGCCGGCCCAGCUCCCCGUACCGCGCCCUCCUCCUGUUCCCCCGGUGCGCACCGCUACAGGGGCUCGUCGCCGCCCGACCACCUCGUCGGCAACGCCGCGGGUGGAUAAGAGUGCCCCCCCUCCGUCUCCUCGAGUCCUCCCCACCUACCUCCACCCACUCCCCUGCUCGCCCUCUCCGCUCUCUCCCUCACUCCCCAGAUCUACCUUUCCCCUCUCCCUCACGCGCUCACUCCUCCCGAGCGCCACCGUCGCCGUGCGUCGGUUGAUCCCGCGGCCACCGCUGUCCCCGGCCCUCUCCGACGUGCCCCCAGGCGCUGCCUCGACCUCCACAUCCGCCCCGCCAAGCCGCACGGACCGAGACGGCCCCACCGCACCGCCACGACCUCGCCUUCGCCCUCGGCUCCGACGAACGCCGCCGCCCCGAAUCCACACCACUGCUGCUCCUAGUCACCCAACGGGCCACCGUGUGCCCCCAAGGUGAGCUCUGGCCCCCUUUUCCCUCUCGUCGCGCGUCUCCGCCUCCACCGUAGCUAGCUCGCCCGCAAGCCGAGCUCCGCCGUCCGCCAUUGCCGUCGUAGGGCUCGCCACCGAGCUCCUCCGCUUGAGCUAGUAGCUCCGACGAGCUCCUGGAGCGCCGUAGACCUCGCCCAGCUUCUUCGUUCACCAAAACACGCACUGCAACACCGAUCCCGACGAGGUCCCGAACCCCGCCGCCGCCUUCACUCGUCGCCGACGCAGUUUCGGUCACCCCCGCGUCCAACCGACCACACCAUGCGGCGCGGCUUCGUCUCCUUGUUCGAACGCGCCAAGUCCCGGGCCAAAUGACCCCCUGUGCACGAUUCCCGGUGAAGUCCGGCGAGCCCCGCCACUGUUUUGGUCGCCGGCGGCGAAACCCCGACGCCGCCGACGUGGCACACCUGGACCCCGCCUCUGGGUCACUGCCCGUGGGCCCCCUGGCCCUAGUUGACCACGUUGACCGUGGUCAACUGUGCUGAUUGGGCACACAGUGUCCCUGACACGCGGGCCCCAUCGCUUAUUUUGUUAAAUAAAUGUUUUUCUAAAUAAAAACGAUUAAUUAAAAUGUUAGUUAAAUUAGUUAGUUAGUUAGUACUAACUAGUCACUGACUGCUGGGGCCCACGCCCCCUAACUAACCCUGUUAGUUUAGUUAAGCCUCUGUUAGACAGAGAGGCCGACAGGUGGGUCCCACCUGUCAGUUUGACUGGUCAGCAGCUGACACAGUGUUGACGUCACUGCUGACGCAAUAAACCUUUUCUGCUUUUAAAAUAAUUCAGAAAUUGGUUUAAACUUUGAAAAUCCGUAACUUUUAAACCGUAGCUCGGAUCGUAAAAGUUUAUAUAUGGAAAACGCCCAGAAAAACGAGACGAAUCCAAAGAUGCGGUCCGUUUACCCGUCAGAAGCCUCUAACUAUCUGAACAUGGAACAUUCCCCCUCAUGUCAUCUGUUUGACACAAGCCCGGAACCGGGAAUACAUUCCCGGUUGAAUUCCCCCUUCACCUAUAUCAUGUAGCCAUACGUUAGGUCACACCUGGCACAACAUAUUGCCACGUCAUGCUUUGUAAUGCUAUGUUUGCUUUAUAUUUACUGUUUCUUCCCCCUCUUCUCUCCAGUAGACCCCAAGACCGAUGCCGAUGCCCCUGGGAUCGACUACGUCGACGACAACCCUCCUUGCCAGAGCAACCAGGCAAGCCCCCCCUUUGAUCAUCCCAAUAUCGCCCAUUCCAUUCUCUCAUGCUUGCAUUAGAUUUUGCUACUGUUAUUGUUUGCUCCUAUUCUGAUGCAUAGCCUGCUUUUGUAUCUACUGUUGUACCUUACCUGCUUAUCCUAAACUGCUUAGUAUAGGUUGGUUAGUGAUCCAUCAGUGACCCCCACUUUGUCCCGAUUGCCCCGCUGGAUUAUCAGAAGACCCGAUCAACGGGAUCGAAGACCAGGCCCCGGCACCGCACAUCACUUUCCCCUUAGUUGCUCGACACUGCUGGGUUACUAUCGAGUGCCGAGGGUGAGACCUCUACAGCACUUCUGAUGUUAACCCUGUAGUGUAGCUAUUCGGUCGUGGUCAUCGAGGGUGAUUCCGCCUUAACCACUUCCUAUACGACUCUGUCGUGCAACCCCUCAAGUGUGAACCUCGGGGGUGAUUCCUCUUACGUUCACCUUGAUGAUUACAUCGAGUGAAAUUCACCGGGGGUGAUUCCUCGGGUUUUCCCCUUGAUGUUUGGACACACGGUUACUAUGGUUACUAUGACUUUACACUGAACCAUGUUACUAAAGACGGGUCGACCCUGAGGGGUGCCCGCGCGAGCAUAAUUGCGAGUGAUGAGGAGUCGGGUUAACCUGGAAGGUGCCCGUGAGAUAAUUACGAGGCGUGGCCGGGCAUUCUUAGCCCUUGCCGCAAGUCCUCGAGACGGGGCAACGGGGUCACAUCUUUCGUGAGUCUCUGCUUGUUACCGCGCGUUCCCAAUCCACUAUGAUUUGGAUAUUUGAUCCGAGGGGCCUCUGGCCAGAUAGCACUAACCAUCACGUGGGCAUAGUAUGGGUGUUCUGCGUCGUAUGCAUCAGCCGAAGCUUAAUAGACAUCAGCGACUGAGCGGCACGCGCCGGGUUGGACUGGUUACGCCUUCUCUUGUAUAAGGGAGGCUAGGUCUGCUCACCGGCCGCGUACGCAACGUGCAGGAGUUUCCGGGGAGAUGGCCCAUGACCCCUGGGGGCAUAGGUUUAGUCCGGCGUGCUGACCUCUCUGUUAAGUCUAGGUCGGGUUGCGGCGUAUUGUUUGGCCGAGGCCGGGCAUGACCCAGGAAAGUGUGUCCGGCCGGAGUUAAUCAAGCAUGGUGGGUAAGUUGGUGCACCCCUGCAGGGAAGAACUAAUCUAUGCAUAGCCUGUCCUACGGUAACGGACACUUGGAGUUGUAUCCCGAUCGAUACAACUAGAACUGGAUACUUGUGAUGAGAAUUGGAUGGUGAUGAGAAAUGGAUUGUGAUGAUAACUGGAUAGUAUGGCUCUGGGAUUGCUUUCUCGCAGGGAGUCGAGAAAGGAUCUCUGGUCGAGCUUGAUAACGCUACUACUUUACUUUAUGCUACUCUACUCCCUCCUGUUGCUGCAAGAUGGUGGUUUCUAGAAGAUGCUAGUCUUCGAUAGGACUAGGCCUUCUCUCUAUUCUGGCAUUUCUGUAGCCCAGUCCACAUAUAUAGCCUUCCUUUGAUAAUGUUGCAUAUGUAGUGUAGAUCCUUGCUUGCGAGUACUUUGGAUGAGUACUCACGGUUGCUUUGUUCCCCCUUUUCCCCAUUCUUUCUUCUUUCUGGUUGUCGCAACCAGAUGGUGGAGCCCAGGAUCCAGACGACACCACCAACGACUACUACUACCCCGAGGGUACCUACUACUACGUGGAGGCCGCCGACGGCCAGGAGUAGUUAGGAGGCUCCCAGGCAGGAGGCCUUGCCUUUUCGAUCGCUGCUGCUUUUGUGCUAGCCUUCUUAAGGCAAACUUGUCUAACUCAUGUUUGUACUCAGAUAUUGUUGCUUCCGCUGACUCUUGUAUAAUCGAGCUUAUGUAUUUGAGCCCUCUAGGCUCCUGGCUUGUAAUAUAAAGCUUGUAUUAUUUUAAUUUGUGUAUAGAGUUGUGUUGUGAUAUCUUCCCGUGAGUCCUUGAUCUUGAUCAUACACAUUUGCGUGCAUGAUUAGUGUAGAUUGAAUCGAGGGCGUCACAAUGAAGGGAAGAGUAGAGAAGCCGAAAACGAGCUUCAUACAUUGUACAUCCAAAACGGGGGGAUUAAUGUCUCCAUGAAGGAGGAUAAUCGGGGAGGUGAAUCUAACGUUCCCUCCCCCCGCGGGAAGAAAAGGGCCGCCUCCGAACACUUGGAAACGGAGGUGCCAAUACAAGGGAAGAAACCCUUGCCAGGGAGUCUUGCCCUAGAGGGCGUCCUCACCGCACAGCACCCACACACGGGCCAACCCUCCAUCGAGCUGUAAGUAAAAAAGGACUGUGAUAAAACAUGUCCUGCAUUAUCUCUAAGAAUAAUAACCGAGAUCUAUCUCUUGCAGUCCGGCUCGUAGCCCUUCUCAACAGAGUUGGUCUUUGGGGGAUCUUCUUCCAGAGAUGAUGGAGAGUGAAACUCCACCUGCCUCUCCGCCCCAUGGGGCGAGCGACCCUGAGGUGUCGUCAUGGAGGAUCUCUCCUGAUCCACUAAGGCCAGAAUUUAAUGCUUCGGCCUCCCGAAGCCCUGAGUAUUCGGCUCCCAGGGAGAGCAACAAGAAGAGUCCGGGAUUGUUCGGCACCGAGCCGGACACACUGACGGGCCUUCUAGAGUGAGCGACUAUAUCUGAGGCGCACCGUGCUUUAAUGAGUAUGGUGUUUGAGAGAAUUUCAUCCACCAAAAGCGGGUUAAAUGAAGCUUUUACAAGCCUGCUCAAAGGCUUUGAGGUACGCAAAGAAAUAUGUAAACUUUCAGCUGUACCGCACACGCUAGGUGUGCUCUAUGUAGAUAGUAGCCCCUGAGACUCUAGUUGCCAGCCCGAGGCGGCAAACGGAGGAUGAUACUCCCAAGUAAUGAUCGCGCUGCGUUAUGUGCAGACGGCUAAGUGUCCGGCGGUUGCCUGGACUGCUGAGUUCGCCGAACUAAGGCGACAACUUGAUGUGGCGGAUGCUGACAUCGCGCUGUGAACAAGCGGCUUGACGAGGCAUAGGGUAUGUGCUGCUUAUCUUUUUUUGUUAGCUAAUAUUUAAGAGGAGCAUGAUGCUAGUAUCUAUAAUAUGAUGUGGCUACAAAUGGAGCUGCUGCCAUGGAGGCUCUUCGGGCGGAACUUGCCCUAGCCAAGGAACAAGCCAGGAUAAGUGAUGCGGCUGCCCUAAAGGCGGCGGAAGAGUUAAGAGCCGAACAGGCUGCUCAUCGCCGGAGCAAAGAUAAACUAGCCAAGAUGGCUGUUGAGCUGAGAGAUGCCGCUGACCGAUAUGAGCUCCUUGAAAAGGAGAGCCAAGCGAAAGCAGCUGACCUGAAGAAGGCCUUGGUGUAGCCAAGGAAACGCGCUCUGAAAUUAGAGCUGCACGGGAGGAGCUUCGACAAGCCGGAGAUAUCACGGCUGGGAAGCCCUUUUUGUUGCGGAUGAAAUUCGGAGAUCCAAAGUAUGCUCCUCUGGAUUAGUUAUGGAGUGCUGCGGACGCGUAUGCGGACCUGGUAAAAAGUACUGUUGAUGCGACUGAGUCUUUCAAAGAUCGAAAAGAUCAUGAGGUAGAAAGGUUAUUCUGGUCGCAGUUUAGUUCCCUGACCCGUCCGCUGCCGUUGAAUGAAAGGAUGGCCGCAUGGGCCGAGCUCCAUAGGUUGUCCGAACUUGCCAUGAAGUCUGUCGUAGACCAUCUAUGGCCGAGGGGACCAAGGCUGGAUAGUUAUUUUGGUUUAGUGCAACAAUUCCUUGGCGCUGCGUCGCGUAUCGACGCUGUGAAGAGGUCGGCAUGCAUAGAGGGUGCGUGGAUGGCUCUUGCCCAUGUUAAAACAUAUUGGGCGGAUAUGGAGGCCACCGAUAUUGCAACUCGGGGUCCGGCGGGAGGCCAGGACCCGGCCGAGCACUAUUUUGAGCAAGUCCUCGAAGGCGCCCGUUUAAUAGAGGCUCAGUGCUCGAACAGUAUCAUGUUCGAGUGACAUAUAUCUCAAUUGUAAAAACAAUGUGAUUUUGAUUAUAAAGGUUGUAUUUAUACUUUUGCCCGAAAGUAUUGUAGUGCCUCCUGUGCGGCCGUUUAUGUAUGUAUAUAACCUGAAAGUUUGCAGUCGUCGGCUUCAGCCCCCACGCAUACAAUGCGGGGGUGUUCGAAAAAGGCACGUAAUCACACUUGAUCCAACGUCUUGGUCCAUUAAGGAGGUGAUCGUGCAUCAGGCAAUCAGACUAUAUUGCUUUAACACUUUCACUUAGCCAUAGGAGUUUGACAGUGGGGCUAUUAUAUAGCCCCUGGUACUUCCGAGUUCAUCUGAAUUCGGUGUGCGUACAUACAUGACCGGGAAACCAGUCCUUCAUUAAUGCGGAGGAAUCCUGAAGAUUCCGCUGAGUCAUCGAGUGGUUGACCAGUCUCUCGCUGUAUCAUGACAACAGUUUUUGGCUUUCUCUACUGAGGUGCUCGUCUGGAAUAACUAGGGCACAAUCGUAAUAGUUCUCCUUUGGCCGCCUUAGCCGAUAAAACGGAACGUAAGGUAGCAAACCCAGGAGCCGGGCAAACCCAACAUUUUACCAAAGACAUGAUUCGGAGCUGAUGCAUAUAAGGCCAAACUCGCGACGCCGAACACUCCCGAAGGUAUUCGGACUUUACAUAUACUGGGCUGAGUAACGCCCUCGAUAAUGAACCCCGAAUUACUAGGUAUGCGCAUUAACCUGACGUGACAAAAUGCCAAUAACGCCAGUAUCCCUCGUGGGUGUAUUGAGUACCCAGGGGAUAUCAAACAACAAGAGACAUUAAAGAAGGUUUACACAGGGGCUUAAUCUAAAGAGAAACCUUUGAGCGGGGCCAUGCUGCACGGCUGUGCCUUUGUCUCCGUUCGCCGUAUCCUGGAAGGGUGUAGCACGAUGGUCAUCUGUAAAAAAGGAAAACUCAGGUAAAAGAGUCUAGGGUAAUCGUGCAAGAAGUUGGUUAUUCUCAAUGAAUCAUGAAAACACAAUAUAUUAUUAUAUUAAUAGGGUCAAGCCGAACUGUGGGCUUUGAUACAUGUUCGCAGCCCCUAGCACCGCCUAUGGGGGUAUAUCUAUAGAUCCCAGCUUAGGUUUAUCUGUGCUAUUACCACCGGCGGUGCGCCAGAGUCGUCUAACCGUGUCCGCGGUCUUGACGAUCGAUCAUGUAUUCUGGUUUAAGAGGCCACUUAGUGUUCGGCUGCUAGAGCCACCACAUAUUCUUCCGCACAUAAGGAACGCUUUGUGUUUCCGCUAACUGUGAUGACGCCGCGUGGACCGGGCAUCUUGAGUUUAAGGUAGGCGUAGUGCGGUACUGCGUUAAAGCAAGCAAAGGCCGCUCUUCCGAGUAGUGCGUGAUAGCCGCUUCGGAAUGGAGCGAUGUCGAAGAUUAAUUAUUCGCUUUUGAAGUUGUCGGGAGAACCGAAUAUAACCUCUAAUACGAGGGAGCUCGUGCAGCGGGCCUCAACGCCUGGUAUUACUCCUUUAAAGGUAGUGUUACUUCGGCUGAUUCUUGACGGGUCUAUCCCCAUCUUGCGGACAGUGUCCUGAUAUAUCAGAUUAAGACUACUGCCACCGUCAAUAAGGACUCAAGUGAGGUGGUAUUCAUCAAUUAUUAGGUCGACCACCAAGGCAGCCGAUCCUCCGUGCCGGAUACUAGUCGUAUGAUCCCUGCGAUCAAAAGUGAUCGGACAAGCCGACCAAGGGUUGAAUUUGGGGGCGACGGGCUCUACAACGUAUACGUCUCUGAGUGCGCGUUUGCGCCUUCUCUUCGGUAUAUGAGUUGCAUAGAUCAUAUUCACUGUUUUGACUUCUGGUGGGAAUUUUUUCUGUCCCCCAGUGUUCGGUUGGCGAGGCUCAUCCUUGUCUUCGCUUGGCGUCUCCCUUCCUUUGUGUUUGGCGUUUAGCUUGCCGGCCUGCUUGAAGACCCAACAUUCUCUGUGGGUGUGGUUUGCAGGUUUUCUGGGGGUGCCAUGAAUUUGACAUAAUCUGUCUAGAACCUUAUUUAGGCUAGACGGUCCAUCCCCUCUGCCUUUAAAUGGCUUUUUCCGUUGACCGGGUCGAGAGCCCCUGAAUUCGGCAUUGACCGCCGUGUUGUCCGGACUCUCUUCCUUGUUUCGACGCUUAUUUUUGUUGCGUCGUGGCUUCCCGUUGCCAUCCCUAAUUUUGGAUGUGCCUGGGUCGCUAGUGCCUCUACGGGCCAACCAGCUGUCCUCACCCGCUCAAAAGCGGGUCAUAAGGCUUAUUAGGGCCGCCAUUGUCCUCGGCUUUUCUUGGCCGAGGUGUCUGGCAUCCGGACAAUCAAUAAUUUGAUUCUUCUUAGUAAGAAAUCUGUUCCAAAGCUUACGGGCUGACUCUCCGGGUUGUUGUAUUAUGUGACUUAAAUAAUCUGCAUCCGGAGGUCAGACAUAGGUCCCUUGAAAAUUGACCCUGAAAGCAUCCUCAAGUUACUCCCAACUUCCAAUUGAGUUUUCGGGGAGGCUUUUCAACCAGUGUCGAGCUGGUCCUUUCAACUUGAGGGGCAGAUAUUUAAUGGCGUGGAGAUCAUCUCCGUGAGCCAUGUGGAUAUGAUGGAUAAAGUCCUCAAUCCAGACCCCAGGGUCUGUCGUUUCGUCGUAUGCCUCUAUAUUUACGGGUUUGAAUCCCUGUGGAAAUUCAUGAUCCAGCACUUCAUUAGUGAAGCACAGGGGGUGUGCGGCACCCCUGUAAUUGGAUGUGUCGUGGCAUGCUGUUGAGGUUUGUUGUGUUCGGGGUUGAUCCCAAACUCGAAUUCGAUCAAUAUGUUCGUUUUGGUGGCUAUGAUCUUGCGCCGGAGCACGUCCUCUAGAUCCAUAGAUGGACCUGGUCGCACCAGCCUUUUUGUCCAGGAGCUCACGUAAAUCGUGUGCUGGCUUGUGUGCGGCGUCAAUAGCUGCUCUAUCGCGGCCACGAGGUGGUCGGUCUGGCUGAUCGGCCGUAUUAUUCUUCGGCGGGAUGGGCUCUAUGGCUUCGUCGUCGAAUUCGGGCAGUAGCUUGCGCUUUGGGUAGCUCUUUGUGUGGCAAUCGUCGCCAUAUUUUUCUUCACUGUCUAGCACUUUGUUCCAUCUGCGGUUGAGCGUAUCCUGCGCGGCCUUAAGCCUUUGCUUCUACUUCUUCAGGCUCCUCGCGGUGGCCAUAAGCCUUCUGUGGAGGUUCUCUUGUUCCAAGUGUUUUUCUGGGAUGAAUGCAUCGUCGUCCGGACUGUCCUCCUCUCCGGAGGCAGGUUGAUUAGUUUUACCCUCGGGUUCGUCGUGAUCGGGCGUCUGCUCCGGAUUAUAUUCGGCAUGCCCUGGCUCAUCCUGCUCCAUUGCUGGGUCCAUGGGGUCGUCGCUUCCUUUGGAGUCGACCGGGGUGUCAAUUUUUCUUGCGCCAUCAUCGCUAUUUUUACUGAGGCUGGAUUUAGAGCGGCGCCUGCGCCGUCGCUUUGGUUUCUGCCCGGGGGGAUUAUCCUCUGUGGCGUCCUUUUUGUCGCCGUUGUUCUCCUUGGGUGUGUCCACCAUGUAUAUAUCAUAUGAUGAGGUGGCUGUCCAGCGCCCCGUGGGUGGUGGUUCCUGAUCAUCUCCAGCAUCGACGUCCAUACCAUCGAUGUCUUCGAAGUCGAAGUCCAGCGUGUCGGUUAAGUCAUCGGAAGUGGCUAUUAAGUGGGUGGUGGGUGGGCAGCGAAAUUCCUCGUCAUCUGGAUCCCACUCGAGCCGGACAUAAUUCGGCCAAGAGUCUCCUGAUAAAGAGAGAGAGCUCAAUGAAUUUAGCACGUCACAAAGGGUGAGUUUUGAAAGAUAUCCGCGGAGGCAAACUCCAUGAUCGGUGCCCAAUCAGAUUCGAUGGGCACGGAUGCACGCGGUCCGGAACCUAAGUCUAGAGACAAGUCCAGGUGUCCGGUGACACAGAUUUCCUGAGAGGUGGAGUCUGUGUUUGGCUCCAUCGCCGAUGAAUGUGCGGCCUCCGUGGCGGGGUCCAUCCACCCAUCCUCGGAUGGCACGAUCUGCUCCAGAUUAAAGGUCGGGGCAGCUGCAGGUGCGAUAGUCCGAAUACCGUCCGAGGGCAGAUCUAAGUCAUGCACGUCGUGACUGUUCGCCGCUCCUGACACAGGCUCGAAUCCGUCGAAGAUCAAGUCUCCGCGAAUAUCAGCCGUGUAGUUCAAGUUUCCAAAUCUGACCUGAUGGCUAGGGGCGUAGCUGUCGAUCUGCUCUAGAUGGCCAAGCGAGUUGGCCCGCAGUGCGAAGCCGCCGAAUACGAAGAUCUGCCCGGGGAGGAAAACCUCACCCUGGACCGUAGCGUUGUUGACGAUUGAAGGAGCCAUCAAGCCUUAUCGUGACGACACAGUGGAACUCUCAAUGAAAGCACCAAUGUCGAUGUCAAAACCGGCGGAUCUCGGGUAGGGGGUCCUGAACUGUGCGUCUAAGGCUAAUGGUAACAGGAGGCUGGGGACACGAUGUUUACCCAGGUUAGGGCCCUCUCGAGGAAGGUGAUACCCUACUUCCUGCUUGAUUGAUCUUGAUGAUAUGAGUAUUACAAGAGUUGAUCUACCACGAGAUCGUAGAGGCUAACCCUAGAAGCUAGCCUAUGAUUAUGAUUGUUCUUCUUGUCCUACGGACUAAAUCCUCCGGUUUAUAUAGACACCGGAGGGGGCUAGGGUUACACAGAGUCGGUUACAGAGAAGGAGAUCUAUAUAUCCGAAUCGCCAAGCUUGCCUUCCACGCAAAGGAGAGUCCCAUCCGGACACGUGACAAAGUCUUAAAUCUUGUGUCUUCAUAGUCCAAUAGUCCGGCCAAAAUAUAUAGUCCGGCUGUCCUAAUACCCCCUAAUCCAGGACUCCCUCAAGCAUCAUUGUAUAUUUGACAAGUAUAAGAGGAAAUAGCCAUUAUCGCUCUCUCCCAUGCGCCCUAUUGGCUUGACUAUACUGAAAGCAACAUGCAAAUUUGUGCGGCACCAAAGAGCAAAAGAGAAUAAGUUGUACGAGGGGGAAACUCAAUAACAACACUUUGAGACUAGUACUGUGGUGCAGCAAACAGAAGAAAUGGAGGAGAAAGAGCUAGUGAGGUGUAGUUACAAUAAAUCCGCUAAGUUCGGGAAUAGGAGACGCCAGGGAAGAAAUAUUUGUGUGUGGGGAGACUUGAGCAAUGGGCUCUGGUUGCUGGUUAUUCAGAGCUGACCUUCGACGUUUUGUGUCGCGUCGAACCGGAGAGACCGCGUGCGUCGCAGAGCACGCUGCCACGACAAACCAUGGCGCUGUUGUCGACCGCUGCACCAUCCCUUUGUGCUGCAGAUCCCACCAUCGCCUGAAAGUGUCGCACUCGUGCUGAGCUUGCCGUCAACCAGGCGUGUCGACCACAUCAACUGGCACACAGUCAUCUAUUGGCUAGCAGAUGGUGGUGAACUAGUUAGCAGAUGGGGGUGAGCAUUAUCUUUGAGAACCUUUCUGAAUGCAGUUAAUUAUUUUUAUGUGGUUCAAAUGAAACUGGAAUUUGCAUUGAAGAUGAAAUUGUGCAAUAUCAAGAUUACUUUUGUCGGAGAUGGUGGUGGGGAUUGAUCUUUC
This 24557-nucleotide long non-coding RNA is filed under the name Triticum aestivum (bread wheat). RNAcentral describes it as "long non-coding RNA (TAES_LNC011532)". Lineage: Eukaryota; Viridiplantae; Streptophyta; Magnoliopsida; Poales; Poaceae. The record is from RNAcentral.